RNAcentral lists this ribosomal RNA (1487 nucleotides) under uncultured prokaryote. RNAcentral describes it as "partial 16S ribosomal RNA". It matches the Rfam family "Bacterial small subunit ribosomal RNA". The record is from RNAcentral.
GAGUUUGAUCUUGGCUCAGGAUGAACGCUAGCGGCAGGCUUAAUACAUGCAAGUCGAACGGGAUUCAGAUAGCAAUAUUUGAUGAGAGUGGCGCACGGGUGCGUAACGGGUAUGCAACCUACCCAUUACUAGAGGAUAGCCCAGGGAAACUUUGAUUAAUACCCCAUAGUAUUAUGAUAAGGCAUCUUCUAAUAGUUAAAGAUUUAUUGGUAAAGGAUGGGCAUGCGUAUCAUUAGUUUGUUGGUGAGGUAACGGCUCACCAAGACUACGAUGAUUAGGGGGCCUGAGAGGGUGAUCCCCCACACUGGUACUGAGAUACGGACCAGACUCCUACGGGAGGCAGCAGUAGGGAAUAUUGGUCAAUGGAGGAGACUCUGAACCAGCCAUGCCGCGUGCAGGAAGACGGCCUUAUGGGUUGUAAACUGCUUUUGAUAGGGAAGAAAACGGCUAUGCGUAGGUGGACUGACGGUCCCAUACGAAUAAGGAUCGGCUAACUCCGUGCCAGCAGCCGCGGUAAUACGGAGGAUCCAAGCGUUAUCCGGAUUUAUUGGGUUUAAAGGGUGCGCAGGCGGGCUAAUAAGUCAGUGGUGAAAUCUCUCGGCUCAACCGAGAAACUGCCAUUGAAACUGUUAGUCUUGAGUACAGUUGUAGUGGGCGGAAUAUAGCAUGUAGCGGUGAAAUGCUUAGAUAUGCUAUAGAACCAACGAUCGCGAAGGCAGCUCACUAAGCUGUAACUGACGCUCAGGCACGAAAGCGUGGGGAGCAAACAGGAUUAGAUCCCCUGGUAGUCCACGCUGUAAACGAUGAUCACUCGUUGUUGGCGACACACAGUCAGCGACUAAGCGAAAGUUUUAAGUGAUCCACCUGGGGAGUACGCUCGCAAGAGUGAAACUCAAAGGAAUUGACGGGGGCCCCGCACAAGCGGUGGAGCAUGUGGUUUAAUUCGAUGAUACGCGAGGAACCUUACCUGGGCUCAAACGUAGUAUGACGUAUGGUGAAAGGGAUCUUUCUUCGGACGGACUACAAGGUGCUGCAUGGUUGUCGUCAGCUCGUGCCGUGAGGUGUCGGGUUAAGUCCUAUAACGAGCGCAACCCCUAUUCUUAGUUGCCAGCACAUAAUGGUGGGGACUCUAGGAGAACUGCCUACGCAAGUAGAGAGGAAGGUGGGGAUGACGUCAAAUCAGCACGGCCCUUACGUCCAGGGCUACACACGUGCUACAAUGGCCGGUACAGAGGGCAGCCACCUGGUGACAGGGAGCGAAUCUCAAAAGCCGGUCUCAGUUCGGAUCGAAGUCUGCAACCCGACUUCGUGAAGCUGGAAUCGCUAGUAAUCGCGCAUCAGCCAUGGCGCGGUGAAUACGUUCCCGGGCCUUGUACACACCGCCCGUCAAGCCAUGGAAGCUGGGGGUACCUGAAGUACGUGACCGUAAUAGGAGCUGCCUAGGGUAAAACUAGUGACUGGGGCUAAGUCGUAACAAGGUAACCGUA